This 98-nucleotide small RNA is filed under the name Escherichia coli. Its description in RNAcentral is "partial RtT sRNA". It matches the Rfam family "RtT RNA", at positions 1 to 96 of the family's 130-position model. Rfam says of the family: This family represents a bacterial cis-regulatory element known as RtT RNA. The exact function of RtT is unknown although it is thought that it may be involved in changing the cellular response in relation to amino acid starvation. Lineage: Bacteria; Pseudomonadati; Pseudomonadota; Gammaproteobacteria; Enterobacterales; Enterobacteriaceae. The record is from RNAcentral.
AUUCUGCCCAAGCGGGGAAGGAUGAGAAGCUUCGACCAAGGUUCGACUCGAGCGCCAGCGAGAGAGCGUUGCCGCAGGCAACGACCCGAAGGGCGAAG